Molecule: ribosomal RNA, 600 nt
Filed under: uncultured soil bacterium
Lineage: Bacteria
Description: bacterial SSU rRNA
Rfam family: Bacterial small subunit ribosomal RNA
Source: RNAcentral
AGAGUUUGAUCCUGGCUCAGGACGAACGCUGGCGGCGUGCUUAACACAUGCAAGUCGAGCGCUGAUGCCUGCUUUUGGGUGGGUGGAUGAGCGGCGAACGGGUGAGUAACACGUGGGUAAUCUGCCCUCGAUUCUGGGAUAGCCCGGGGAAACCCGGAUUAAUACCGGAUAGCCUCUCGAGCUUACGAGCUCGUGAGAAAAGGUAGCUUCGGCCUCCGAUCGAGGAUGAGCCCGCGGCGGAUUAGCUUGUUGGUGGGGUAAUGGCCUACCAAGGCGACGAUCAGUAGCUGGUCUGAGAGGAUGAUCAGCCUCACUGGGACUGAGACACGGCCCAGACUCCUACGGGAGGCAGCAGUGGGGAAUAUUGGACAAUGGGCGCAAGCCUGAUCCAGCCAUGCCGCGUGGGUGAUGAAGGCCCUAGGGUUGUAAAGCUCUUUCAACGGUGAAGAUAAUGACGGUAACCGUAGAAGAAGCCCCGGCUAACUUCGUGCCAGCAGCCGCGGUAAUACGAAGGGGGCUAGCGUUGUUCGGAAUUACUGGGCGUAAAGGGCGCGUAGGCGGCGGUUCAAGUCGGGGGUGAAAGCCUGUGGCUCAACCACA